Molecule: small nucleolar RNA, 133 nt
Organism: Talpa occidentalis (Iberian mole)
Lineage: Eukaryota; Metazoa; Chordata; Mammalia; Eulipotyphla; Talpidae
Product: small nucleolar RNA SNORA48
Exons: 1
Source: RefSeq, a predicted model, not a curated record
UGUUCCUGUCCUGGGUAGAGCGGCAUCUAGUUGGUGGUGCUCUUCGAAUAUCAGCCAGGGACAAAGCAACUCCUUAUUUAUUCCAGCUUGGCUUUUGGUCUGUCUAUGCUUGGUUCAUUCUCUGGACACAUGG